Quercus robur (English oak) is the source of this 252-nucleotide long non-coding RNA. RefSeq lists it as uncharacterized. The transcript is spliced from 2 exons. NCBI's taxonomy places the organism in Eukaryota, Viridiplantae, Streptophyta, Magnoliopsida, Fagales, Fagaceae. The record is from RefSeq and is a predicted model, not a curated record.
GGCUUGUGAAACACCAAGUCUUUAUUGAUUGCAAAUAUGAACUUGUCGUUCCAUGUGGGGUUCUUGUUUCCGGCAUAGUCAACCCUUGAAGUAAGCUUUUUUUGCGGGCUAAUCCAUGCAACCACGUAGGUUUUGAUGCUUGAUUCUUUGUAUGAAGGCAAAUCUUGUGCAGAGAUGAGAUUGAUCUCAAUAAUUGUUGGUUUAGGUGGAGUUGCCAUGGCCAUAAACAUGACCAUGACAAAAGAAAACAAA